GUUUUAGUAGCUGCACAUCUGUGGAUGGCCAUGAGUAAUCAUCUCGCGCUGGUUAGGAUUAGGCUGCUGGAGGGGGCGACCCUCAGGCUUUCAAGUACAACGGACGCACCUUGACCUUGGGACGUGGGGGCCUGCACACCUUCCAUAGAAGAGCAGGGAGCUUAAUAAGGUUUGUCUUCUCCUGAGGAAGUGGAUGCCAUGUGUCACUUUGCAGAUGGAUCAAGUGCAGGAGGUGCCUGUUGGAGACGCAGAGCUCUGCAGCAGCAGACACCGCUUCCUGGAGCUGUUCUGUGCAGAAGUUGAGUGAAGAUACUGCAGCGAGCCCUGGGUCUGAACGCCUGUGUGCUGACUCUAGACCUGCUCCUCAGCCCCAGUUUUCUCUGAAAAACCAGGAUUCUAGCACAACUCGUACCCCCAUUCUUUUCAGUCCUGCACCCACCAGCGAGCCGCAAGGCCCAGGAGCUACUGGCCCUGUUUUCCUGUCUCCAGUACUGGCCUUUGAUUUAUGAGAUGUCCCCUGUCUCCCCUGCUUCUGACCUCCCAGGAUGGCAUUUGGUGAUUUCUUGAUGUUCUCUUGCUUUGGCAUUAAAAUAUGGAUGGGAGUGUCAUUUCCAGAUCUUUUCCAGACCUGUGCAAUUCUUUCCAUUCUUCAUAACAGCCCAUGACCCACCUUCCUCUGUUUCAGCCACAAAGCUAGCCAUGCCUGUGUGCGCACUGCUGUUUCUCAUUGUUAAUAUUUUAACUGUUAUUAAAAAAAAAACUUUCUUUUAAACUGUGUGUGUAUGGUUUUAAAAAUUGACGCACUUCCAGAGCUCUCAACUUCUGCAGUCUUUCUGAGGUCCGUGUUCCUCUUCUUCAGCUGGGAAGCAAAUGCUUGACUU
RNAcentral lists this long non-coding RNA (881 nucleotides) under Homo sapiens (human). Its description in RNAcentral is "HSALNT0136503". The record is from RNAcentral. Lineage: Eukaryota; Metazoa; Chordata; Mammalia; Primates; Hominidae.